Molecule: ribosomal RNA, 305 nt
Filed under: uncultured bacterium
Lineage: Bacteria
Description: bacterial SSU rRNA
Rfam family: Bacterial small subunit ribosomal RNA
Source: RNAcentral
AUCUGCCUAUACGGGAGGCAGCAGUGGGGGAUAUUGCACAAUGGGGGAAACCCUGAUGCAGCAACGCCGCGUGAGGGAAGAAGGUCUUCGGAUUGUAAACCUUUGUUUUUGGUGACGAAAGAAAUGACGGUAGCCAAAGAGGAAGCUCCGGCUAACUACGUGCCAGCAGCCGCGGUAAUACGUAGGGAGCGAGCGUUGUCCGGAAUUACUGGGUGUAAAGGGUGCGCAGGCGGGACAUUAAGUUGGGUGUGAAAUGCCGGGGCUCAACCCCGGAGCUGCAUCCAAAACUGAAGUUCUUGAGUGAA